Molecule: ribosomal RNA, 253 nt
Filed under: uncultured bacterium
Lineage: Bacteria
Description: partial 16S ribosomal RNA
Rfam family: Bacterial small subunit ribosomal RNA
Source: RNAcentral
UACGGAGGGUGCGAGCGUUGUCCGGAUUUAUUGGGUUUAAAGGGUGCGUAGGCGGCUUUAUAAGUCUGGGGUGAAAGCCCGCUGCUCAACAGCGGAACUGCCCUGGAUACUGUAGAGCUUGAGGACAGACGAGGUUGGCGGAAUAGAAGAUGUAGCGGUGAAAUGCAUAGAUAUCUUCUAGAACCCCGAUUGCGAAGGCAGCUGACUAGACUGUAUCUGACGCUGAGGCACGAAAGCGUGGGGAGCGAACAGG